RNAcentral lists this transfer RNA (77 nucleotides) under Candidatus Yonathbacteria bacterium. RNAcentral's name for it is "tRNA-Phe". It matches the Rfam family "tRNA". Rfam says of the family: Transfer RNA (tRNA) molecules are approximately 80 nucleotides in length. Their secondary structure includes four short double-helical elements and three loops (D, anti-codon, and T loops). Lineage: Bacteria; Candidatus Yonathiibacteriota. The record is from RNAcentral.
GCCGGGGUAGCUCAGUUGGUUAGAGCAUCCGCCUGAAGAGUGGGGGGUCGGCGGUUCGAAUCCGCCCCCCGGCACCA